AAGUCCCGUAACGAGCGCAACCCUCGCCCUUAGUUGCCAGCAUUUAGUUGGGCACUCUAAGGGGACUGCCGGUGAUAAGCCGAGAGGAAGGUGGGGAUGACGUCAAGUCCUCAUGGCCCUUACGGGCUGGGCUACACACGUGCUACAAUGGUGGUGACAGUGGGCAGCGAGACAGCGAUGUCGAGCUAAUCUCCAAAAGCCAUCUCAGUUCGGAUUGCACUCUGCAACUCGAGUGCAUGAAGUUGGAAUCGCUAGUAAUCGCAGAUCAGCAUGCUGCGGUGAAUACGUUCCCGGGCCUUGUACACACCGCCCGU
RNAcentral lists this ribosomal RNA (314 nucleotides) under uncultured soil bacterium. RNAcentral describes it as "bacterial SSU rRNA". It matches the Rfam family "Bacterial small subunit ribosomal RNA", at positions 1082 to 1397 of the family's 1533-position model. The record is from RNAcentral.